GUGAGUGGUGAUGAUGAUCAAUAUU
This 25-nucleotide microRNA is filed under the name Drosophila pseudoobscura. RNAcentral's name for it is "dps-miR-2571-5p". The record is from miRBase by way of RNAcentral. Lineage: Eukaryota; Metazoa; Arthropoda; Insecta; Diptera; Drosophilidae.